RNAcentral lists this unclassified non-coding RNA (325 nucleotides) under Schizoporaceae sp. Its description in RNAcentral is "partial contains 5.8S ribosomal RNA, internal transcribed spacer 2, and large subunit ribosomal RNA". The stretch from base 1 to 71 matches the Rfam family "5.8S ribosomal RNA", at positions 84 to 154 of the family's 154-position model. The record is from RNAcentral. Lineage: Eukaryota; Fungi; Basidiomycota; Agaricomycetes; Hymenochaetales; Schizoporaceae.
GUGAAUCAUCGAAUCUUUGAACGCACCUUGCGCUCCUUGGUAUUCCGAGGAGCAUGCCUGUUUGAGUGUCGUGAAAUUCUCAAUUCCUCCUUUUCUUUGCGGAGAAGGUUGAGUUUGGACUUGGGGAUUGCUGGCUUUGCGUCGGCUUCCCUUGAAUGCAUUAGCUGGAAUUUGAUUUGUAGCGCGUAUGCGGUGUGAUAAUGUCUUCACUGUUGUUGCUCAAGUCAUCUGGCUUCAAAUUAUCCUUUGUGGGACAAUUUUGACUAUUAGACCUCAAAUCAGGUAGGAUUACCCGCUGAACUUAAGCAUAUCAAUAAGCGGAGGA